GAAUCAUGAAUGAAAUGAGAUCCUAUUCUUUCCAUCUAAACCCCAACUUUAGAUAACAGCAACCACUCACCUCUAUAAAAUACAAAGCACAAGCUUCACUAUGACACAAGCAAAAAAGGUGCAACGAGUUAAAUCAUUCCCACCCACCAUUCACAUGUUCUACUACGUACAUUACCCUAUUCGAUCAAUAGAGUAACUGAUAUCUCACCCUCUUCAUCUAGGUACGUAAUUUCAUCCUCCCAGUCCCAGCUACUUUUUGCAGCCCUGGUGGUGGAAGUUUUGUUAGAACCUCUGCUCCGAGUGGAUUCAUGAAGCUGUCAAAAUGAUCAGACAUUACAUGAUCAAUCGUAAUCUCAUGGUAACUUUAAACACAAAAAAUCCACCCAUUUUCCAAUCACAAUGCAAAAUUUUAAAAACUGUCCCACGUACGCGUAUGUGUGCUUUCCAGCUAGGUUGCCGUUGGUGGAGAGUGAGAGCUCACCAUCAAUGGUUGCUGGUGUAAGUAGAAGACUAGAAGUCCUCUACUAGUAGUAGUAGUAGUCGACAAAACACAAAAUGGCGAUCUUAUGAAAAGGAAACAGCGACCACAUCAUUCAAUACCUCACACUAUUCACUCUCAUUCAUUCAUACACACACACAUAUAUAUAUUACUCACCGUCCUUCUUCUUCUUCUCCAGCUCACUUGAAAUUGGUCUCCGACAACAAAACACAAGGCCUAGCCCACAGUAUUCACUUGGCUCAUCACCACUGCUCCUAUAAAACGACGCCGUCCGCGUCUCUAAGAGUACUACAGAUGAAGAGAGAGAUGGUAGUACUGUUGGUGUUGGUGAUGGUGAUGAUGGUGAUAUCGACGCCCAUAGGAUCGGAAGCGCGGGAGCUGAGGCCGUCGGAUCACGGCUUGGGGUACACGCCGGCGGGGGGGAAUACGUCAGAGGCGCCGGCGGAGGCGAAGUCGUUCUUCAGCGGAGGAGGAGGAGGAGGGAGGGGGGGGAGGAGAGGCGGGAGGGGUGGCGUUGCCGAAGGCGAUGAACUCGAACGACACGUCGUGGUGGGAGGGAGUGAAUCAGGCACGUGACGGGGGGAGGAGGGGUCACGUGAGGGAUGUGCUGGUGGUGGUGAGCUUGGUUUGCGGGAUUACAGGUGUCCUUCUCUUUGUGGCGUCGGCGUUUGUUUAUCUGAUGAGACGCCGAAAGCGGAAAGCAGAAGCUUCUUCUUCCUGAAAGGUGGAUCUCUGUCUUUUCUUUUCCACUUGGUUAAUUCUUAAUUUUGCUAAUUUCAUGUUAUGUAAAUAAACUAAUUUAGGAAAAUUGAUUAGUCCCAUUUCUGGAAAAUUGAUGUAUCACAUUCAUUUGAUGUUCGAGAAAAGUUUGGAGUUCAAAUCUUUACUAAUAUUUUGCUAGAAAUAAAAAAUUAAAAAUCGUGAUUAUUUGAUGAUACAAAUGUGUUGUAUUACUGAACAAAUUGUUUUUGAUCACUAGCGCUACAUAAAUUCGCAUAAACACUUGCUUAUUCUGUUAUGGUGAUCUUGGUUUUGAAGUGUGUACGUUGUUUUACUAUGUAUGUAUGAGAGAUGUUAAACUAUCAUUAUCUAAUAUCUACUUACUUUAUGAAGUUUCGAAUGCCUUUAUCUAUUAUCGAUUUUGAGUCUAAUGAGAGUAGAAAACUAUUCUUAAUCUCAAGUUGCUUUGAAAUCUUUUUUGGAAACAAAAUACGAAGUUUCAAGCAACAGUGCCUCAUUUAAAUUUGCAUAGUGAUGCAAUUACAUCUUGUCAGAUAUAUAUUGGAAUCAACCACCAUUUUGAUUGGGACUAAGUGCUAGUUAUUCGUUAGCUAGGGAUAUGAUUCUUAUAUCACAAUUAUUAUGAAAUUGAAGGAGAUUGUCGGGUGGUG
RNAcentral lists this long non-coding RNA (1890 nucleotides) under Fragaria vesca (wild strawberry). RNAcentral describes it as "long non-coding RNA (FVES_LNC001240)". The record is from RNAcentral. Lineage: Eukaryota; Viridiplantae; Streptophyta; Magnoliopsida; Rosales; Rosaceae.